RNAcentral lists this ribosomal RNA (301 nucleotides) under uncultured bacterium. RNAcentral describes it as "partial 16S ribosomal RNA". It matches the Rfam family "Bacterial small subunit ribosomal RNA", at positions 509 to 807 of the family's 1533-position model. The record is from RNAcentral.
CAGUCGCCACGGGAAUACGUAGGGUGCGAGCGUUAAUCGGAAUUACUGGGCGUAAAGCGUGCGCAGGCGGUUUUGUAAGACAGGCGUGAAAUCCCCGGGCUCAACCUGGGAAUGGCGCUUGUGACUGCAAAGCUAGAGUGCGGCAGAGGGGGAUGGAAUUCCGCGUGUAGCAGUGGAAUGCGUAGAUAUGCGGAGGAACACCGAUGGCGAAGGCAAUCCCCUGGGCCUGCACUGACGCUCAUGCACGAAAGCGUGGGGAGCAAACAGGAUUAGAUACCCCCGUAGUCCCUGUCUCUUAUAC